UGUUGGGCAUAGCCGCGGGAAACUGCGGGUAAUUCCCAGCGACGUCACGAGAUGGCGAUCAUCUUGUGACCAAAGGUGUGAUUCCGCUCUAGGACGGGCCUUCGUGGUAUUAGGUAGUUGGUGAGGUAACGGCUCACCAAGCCGACGAUGCCUACCGGGUGUGAGAGCAUGACCCGGCACACUGGAACUGAGACACUGUCCAGACACCUACGGGUGGCUGCAGUCGAGAAUCUUCGGCAAUGGGCGAAAGCCUGACCGAGCGACGCCGCGUGAGGGAUUGAAGGCCUUCGGGUUGUAAACCUCUUUCGUAGAGGAGGAAGGGGCCGUGAAGAACGGUCUUUGACCUAUUCUAGGAAGAAGCUUGGGCUAAGUUCGUG
This 377-nucleotide ribosomal RNA is filed under the name uncultured bacterium. RNAcentral describes it as "bacterial SSU rRNA". It matches the Rfam family "Bacterial small subunit ribosomal RNA", at positions 135 to 507 of the family's 1533-position model. The record is from RNAcentral.